CCUACGGGAGGCAGCAGUGGGGAAUCUUGCGCAAUGGGCGAAAGCCUGACGCAGCAACGCCGCGUGCGGGAAGAAGGCUUUCGGGCUGUAAACCGCUUUCAGCAGGAACGAAAAUGACGGCACCUGCAGAAGAAGGAGCGGCCAACUAUGUGCCAGCAGCCGCGGUGAUACAUAGGCUUCAAGCGUUGUCCGGAUUUAUUGGGCGUAAAGAGUUCGUAGGCGGUCGAGUAAGUCGGGUGUGAAAAUUCUGGGCUCAACCCAGAGACGCCACCCGAUACUGCUUAACUUGAGUUCGAUAGGGGAGUGGGGAAUUCCUAGUGUAGCGGUGAAAUGCGCAGAUAUUAGGAGGAACACCGGUGGCGAAGGCGCCACUCUGGAUCGAUACUGACGCUGAGGAACGAAAGCAUGGGUAGCAAACAGGAUUAGAUACCCUGGUAGUCCAUGCCGUAAACGGUGGGCACUAGGUGUGGGUAGUACUAUUAACGUAAUUACCGUCGCCGUCGUCGUACGACAUAAGUAGCCCGCCGUCGGGAGGUACGGUCGCGAAGAACGUAAACGUACGAAACGGUAAGUUAGUACGGCGUUGUAGACGUUAGACCGAACGGACGACGACGAGGGAGGAGG
This 624-nucleotide ribosomal RNA is filed under the name uncultured bacterium. RNAcentral describes it as "bacterial SSU rRNA". The stretch from base 1 to 526 matches the Rfam family "Bacterial small subunit ribosomal RNA", at positions 338 to 873 of the family's 1533-position model. The record is from RNAcentral.